GAUGAAGAACGUAGCGAAAUGCGAUAAGUAAUGUGAAUUGCAGAAUUCAGUGAAUCAUCGAAUCUUUGAACGCACAUUGCGCCCCUUGGUAUUCCAUGGGGCAUGCCUGUUCGAGCGUCAUUUGUACCUUCAAGCUCUGCUUGGUGUUGGGUGUUUGUCUCGCCUCUGCGUGUAGACUCGCCUCAAAAUAAUUGGCAGCCGGCGUAUUGAUUUCGGAGCGCAGUACAUCUCGCGCUUUGCACUCAUAACGACGACGUCCAAAAGUACAUUUUUACACUCUUGACCUCGGAUCAGGUAGGGAUACCCGCUGAACUUAAGCAUAUCAAUAAGCGGAGGA
RNAcentral lists this unclassified non-coding RNA (337 nucleotides) under soil metagenome. RNAcentral describes it as "partial contains 5.8S ribosomal RNA, internal transcribed spacer 2, and large subunit ribosomal RNA". The stretch from base 1 to 120 matches the Rfam family "5.8S ribosomal RNA", at positions 35 to 154 of the family's 154-position model. The record is from RNAcentral.